Molecule: ribosomal RNA, 251 nt
Filed under: uncultured bacterium
Lineage: Bacteria
Description: partial 16S ribosomal RNA
Rfam family: Bacterial small subunit ribosomal RNA
Source: RNAcentral
GUUGAGUAGAGCGGCGGACGGGUGAGUAACGCGUAGGAAUCUACCCAGUAGUGGGGGACAACAGUCGGAAACGGCUGCUAAUACCGCAUACGCCCCACGGGGGAAAGGCCGGGAUCUUCGGACCGGUCACUAUUGGAGGAGCCUGCGUAGGAUUAGCUAGUUGGUGAGGUAAAGGCUCACCAAGGCGACGAUCCUUAGCUGGUCUGAGAGGACGAUCAGCCACACUGGAACUGAGACACGGUCCAGACUCC